GCAUAUCAAUAAGCGGAGGAAAAGAAACCAACAGGGAUUGCCCUAGUAACGGCGAGUGAAGCGGCAACAGCUCAAAUUUGAAAUCUGGCCCUCGGGUCCGAGUUGUAAUUUGUAGAGGAUGUUUCUGGCGACGUGUCUUCCGAGUUCCCUGGAACGGGACGCCAAAGAGGGUGAGAGCCCCGUCCGGUCGUACGCCUAGCCUCUGUGAAACUCCUUCGACGAGUCGAGUAGUUUGGGAAUGCUGCUCUAAAUGGGAGGUAUACGUCUUCUAAAGCUAAAUACCGGCCAGAGACCGAUAGCGCACAAGUAGAGUGAUCGAAAGAUGAAAAGCACUUUGAAAAGAGGGUUAAAUAGUACGUGAAAUUGCUGAAAGGGAAGCGCUCAUGACCAGACUUGGGCUCGGUUAAUCAUCCGGCGUUCUCGCCGGUGCACUUUGCCGGUCCAGGCCAGCAUCAGUUCGCCUCGGGGGAUAAAGGCUUCGGGAAUGUGGCUCCUCCGGGAGUGUUAUAGCCCGUUGUGUAAUACCCUGUGGCGGACUGAGGUACGCGUUCGCAAGGAUGCUGGCGUAAUGGUCAUCAGUGACCCGUCUUGAAACACGGACCAAGGAGUCGUCUUCGUAUGCGAGUGUUCGGGUGUUAAACCCCUACGCGGAAUGAAAGUGAACGUAGGAGAGAGCUUCGGCGCAUCUCCGACCGAUCCUGAUGUUCUCGGAUGGAUUUGAGUAAGAGCAUACGGGGCCGGACCCGAAAGAAGGUGAACUAUGCUUGUAUAGGGUGAAGCCAGAGGAAACUCUGGUGGAGGCUCGCAGCGGUUCUGACGUGCAAAUCGAUCGUCAAAUAUGAGCAUGGGGGCGAAAGACUAAUCGAACCUUCUAGUAGCUGGUUUCGCCGAA
RNAcentral lists this ribosomal RNA (892 nucleotides) under Waltergamsia epimycota. Its description in RNAcentral is "LSU rRNA". It matches the Rfam family "Eukaryotic large subunit ribosomal RNA", at positions 38 to 965 of the family's 3401-position model. The record is from RNAcentral. Lineage: Eukaryota; Fungi; Ascomycota; Sordariomycetes; Hypocreales; Bionectriaceae.